UUUUUUUUUUUUUUUUUGGUUUGAAAUGCUCCCCCUGAAGAUAACUAUAAAGCUUCUUGUCUCUUCAAUCUUCACUUGAUUUUAGUUUUAAUCUCCUCAAUCAUAAUCCCCCAUAUUUGUUGAAGACAUGAAUGUUCUCCCUUCAUUAGAAUUGGGCUUCUUGAAUCUUGAGGUAUGCAGAAGAUCCUAUUGGGGUAAAGGCUUCUUCUUUGGAUGUGUUACAAUAUUUUUGCUUAAUUACCUUUUUGUGAUUUUUUAGGGGACUUAUUAAUUUCAUGAUCUUUGUUUUCCAGGUAACCAUCAUGAUAGGCAGACAUGGUCAUGGUAUCAUUUUUGAAAUUACAGGUAACAGUAUUUUGUCAGUUAUAAUAUGUUCUCCUCAACUAUAUGUUUUCUCUAAACCAAUUAGUAAGAAUACACACUACUUUAUACUACAGUUUACAAACUGAAUUAUUUCAGUGACCAAUUUCUAUUUUAGAGUCUUCGUGUUGUUUGUUUUGUUUGGAUAUCCUCCUAUCUUACAAAAGCUAGGAUAUAACAACAGAGAAAGUUAUGGUUUGUUCAAUCAAAAUGAAGAUGAUCCUUUUGCAAUAAGAAUGCUUCUUAACACCUACCAAGGUUUUGACAAAUUUUCCAUUCUUUUCAAUUGUAAUAACUGAAUAUACCAAUAGUGUAUGUUUUGGAUCUUUGUUGGUAUAAUUUUUCCAUUAGUUAGAGAGGUAGUAAAAAACACAUCUCUUGCAUAAUGACUUUUGUAAAAUUUAUAGUAAAUAUAUACAUAAAAGUAGCUUAAGGGGUAAAACUUUUGAAUGGACUAAAAUGAACAUAUUAAAAUAACAUAUUAACAAAAAACAGGCUUUUUAAUAAUUGAUUAUCUAUCCAAAAAAAAUUCUACUUAUAUACAAAAACCAAAUAUCAUUGGCUAAUAAAUAUGUUGAGGUUUAGUAAAUAUGUUGAGGUUUAGUUCUCGGUUCCUUCUAUUAUUAUUUGGUUU
RNAcentral lists this unclassified non-coding RNA (994 nucleotides) under Hevea brasiliensis (rubber tree). The record is from RNAcentral. Lineage: Eukaryota; Viridiplantae; Streptophyta; Magnoliopsida; Malpighiales; Euphorbiaceae.